AGAGUUUGAUCCUGGCUCAGAUUGAACGCUGGCGGCAUGCCUUACACAUGCAAGUCGAACGGCAGCGCGGGGCAACCUGGCGGCGAGUGGCGAACGGGUGAGUAAUAUAUCGGAACGUACCCUGGAGUGGGGGAUAACGUAGCGAAAGUUACGCUAAUACCGCAUACGAUCCAAGGAUGAAAGCAGGGGACCGCAAGGCCUUGUGCUCCAGGAGCGGCCGAUAUCUGAUUAGCUAGUUGGCGGGGUAAAAGCCCACCAAGGCAUCGAUCAGUAGCUGGUCUGAGAGGACGACCAGCCACACUGGAACUGAGACACGGUCCAGACUCCUACGGGAGGCAGCAGUGGGGAAUUUUGGACAAUGGGCGCAAGCCUGAUCCAGCAAUGCCGCGUGAGUGAAGAAGGCCUUCGGGUUGUAAAGCUCUUUUGUCAGGGAAGAAACGGUGGUGGCUAAUAUCUACUACUAAUGACGGUACCUGAAGAAUAAGCACCGGCUAACUACGUGCCAGCAGCCGCGGUAAUACGUAGGGUGCAAGCGUUAAUCGGAAUUACUGGGCGUAAAGCGUGCGCAGGCGGUUUUGUAAGUCUGUCGUGAAAUCCCCGGGCUCAACCUGGGAAUGGCGAUGGAGACUGCAAGGCUAGAGUUUGGCAGAGGGGGGUAGAAUUCCACGUGUAGCAGUGAAAUGCGUAGAUAUGUGGAGGAACACCGAUGGCGAAGGCAGCCCCCUGGGUCAAGACUGACGCUCAUGCACGAAAGCGUGGGGAGCAAACAGGAUUAGAUACCCUGGUAGUCCACGCCCUAAACGAUGUCUACUAGUUGUCGGGUCUUAAUUGACUUGGUAACGCAGCUAACGCGUGAAGUAGACCGCCUGGGGAGUACGGUCGCAAGAUUAAAACUCAAAGGAAUUGACGG
Molecule: ribosomal RNA, 910 nt
Filed under: uncultured bacterium
Lineage: Bacteria
Description: bacterial SSU rRNA
Rfam family: Bacterial small subunit ribosomal RNA
Source: RNAcentral